GGGCUAGUAGCAUAACCUGGACAGUGCGAUCGGCUUCGGACCGAUUGAUCGGGGUUCAAAUCCUCGCUAGCUCA
Molecule: transfer RNA, 74 nt
Filed under: Nanobdellota archaeon
Lineage: Archaea; Nanobdellati; Nanobdellota
Description: Nanoarchaeota archaeon tRNA-Arg
Rfam family: tRNA
About the family: Transfer RNA (tRNA) molecules are approximately 80 nucleotides in length. Their secondary structure includes four short double-helical elements and three loops (D, anti-codon, and T loops). Further hydrogen bonds mediate the characteristic L-shaped molecular structure. tRNAs have two regions of fundamental functional importance: the anti-codon, which is responsible for specific mRNA codon recognition, and the 3' end, to which the tRNAs corresponding amino acid is attached (by aminoacyl-tRNA synthetases). tRNAs cope with the degeneracy of the genetic code in two manners: having more than one tRNA (with a specific anti-codon) for a particular amino acid; and 'wobble' base-pairing, i.e. permitting non-standard base-pairing at the 3rd anti-codon position.
Source: RNAcentral